CACGUAGGCGGAUUGUUAAGUCGGGGGUGAAAUCCUGAGGCUCAACCUCAGAACUGCCUUCGAUACUGGCAAUCUCGAGUCCGGAAGAGGUUGGUGGAACAGCUAGUGUAGAGGUGAAAUUCGUAGAUAUUAGCUAGAACACCAGUGGCGAAGGCGGCCAACUGGUCCGGUACUGACGCUGAGGUGCGAAAGCGUGGGGAGCAAACAG
This 208-nucleotide ribosomal RNA is filed under the name uncultured bacterium. RNAcentral's name for it is "partial 16S ribosomal RNA". It matches the Rfam family "Bacterial small subunit ribosomal RNA", at positions 568 to 775 of the family's 1533-position model. The record is from RNAcentral.